GACGAACGCUGGCGGCGUGCUUAACACAUGCAAGUCGAGCGGUAAGGCCUUUCGGGGUACACGAGCGGCGAACGGGUGAGUAACACGAGCGUGAUCUGCCCUGCACUUCGGGAUAAGCCUGGGAAACUGGGUCUAAUACCGGAUAUGACCUCCUAUCGCAUGGUGGGUGGUGGAAAGAUUUAUCGGUGCAGGAUGGGCCCGCGGCCUAUCAGCUUGUUGGUGGGGUAAUGGUCUACCAAGGCGACGACGGGUAGCCGACCUGAGAGGGUGACCGGCCACACUGGGACUGAGACACGGCCCAGACUCCUACGGGAGGCAGCAGUGGGGAAUAUUGCACAAUGGGCGAAAGCCUGAUGCAGCGACGCCGCGUGAGGGAUGACGGCCUUCGGGUUGUAAACCUCUUUCAGCAGGGACGAAGCGCAAGUGACGGUACCUGCAGAAGAAGCACCGGCUAACUACGUG
Molecule: ribosomal RNA, 462 nt
Filed under: uncultured bacterium
Lineage: Bacteria
Description: partial 16S ribosomal RNA
Rfam family: Bacterial small subunit ribosomal RNA
Source: RNAcentral